Molecule: ribosomal RNA, 637 nt
Filed under: uncultured marine bacterium
Lineage: Bacteria
Description: bacterial SSU rRNA
Rfam family: Bacterial small subunit ribosomal RNA
Source: RNAcentral
GGCAAACGGGUGAGUAUAAUGUGGGUAUCUGCCUUUUGGUUUGGAAUAACAUGAGGAAACUUGUGCUAAUACCGGAUAAGCCUUCACAGGGAAAGUUUUAUACGCCGAAAGAUGAGCCCGCACUUGAUUAGUUUGUUGGUGAGGUAAUGGCUCACCAAGACAAUUAUCAAUAGCUGGUCUGAGAGGACGAUCAGCCACAUUGGGACUGAGACACGGCCCAGACUCCUACGGGAGGCAGCAGUAAGGAAUCUUGCACAAUGGGGGAAACCCUGAUGCAGCGAUGCCGCGUGAGUGAAGAAGGCCCUUGGGUUGUAAAACUCUUUCGUCGGGGAAGAAAAUGACUGUACCCGAAUAAGAAGGUCCGGCUAACUUCGUGCCAGCAGCCGCGGUAAUACGAAGGGACCUAGCGUAGUUCGGAAUUACUGGGCUUAAAGAGCUCGCAGGUGGUUAAAAUAGUUGAUGGUGAAAUCCCAAGGCUCAACCUUGGAACUGCCAUCAAAACUUUUUAGCUAGAGUGUGAUAGAGGAAAGUGGAAUUUCUAGUGUAGAGGUGAAAUUCGUAGAUAUUAGAAAGAACACCAAAUGCGAAGGCAACUUUCUGGGUCACUACUGACACUGAGGAGCGAAAGCAUGGGUAG